RNAcentral lists this ribosomal RNA (253 nucleotides) under uncultured bacterium. RNAcentral describes it as "partial 16S ribosomal RNA". It matches the Rfam family "Bacterial small subunit ribosomal RNA", at positions 524 to 776 of the family's 1533-position model. The record is from RNAcentral.
UACGGAGGGUGCAAGCGUUGUCCGGAAUCACUGGGCGUAAAGGGCGCGUAGGCGGCUCAUGAAGGCUGUGGUGAAAGUCCGGGGCUCAACCUCGGAUCGGCCGUGGCGACUCGUGGGCUGGAGCACUGUAGAGGCGGGUGGAAUUCCGGGUGUAGCGGUGAAAUGCGCAGAUAUCAGGAGGAACACCGAUGGCGAAGGCAGCUCGCUGGAACGGUACUGACGCUGAGGCGCGAAAGCGUGGGGAGCGAACAGG